Molecule: long non-coding RNA, 1132 nt
Organism: Anguilla rostrata (American eel)
Lineage: Eukaryota; Metazoa; Chordata; Actinopteri; Anguilliformes; Anguillidae
Exons: 5
Source: RefSeq, a predicted model, not a curated record
UGUUUCAUUCUGACACAGCUCCAAACCAAACACAGCUCAGUGCUUUCUUAAAAAAAAAAAGAGUACAUUGUUUACAAUAAAACAGCAAGAUGCAGGUGUCACUGUUCAAACAUAAGCACAGUGGAAGACUAACAUGAGGAAAAAUUGGCUACAUUCAAUAUAAGAGCUAUAAGCAUAGGGGAUUAGGUUUAAAUUAAAGAUAUGUUAAAAGUGGCUCUAAAAAUAAGAGAAAGGGGAAAGGGAAAGAUUGUCAAGACACCAGGUGGCAAAAGUGUGCAAUUAGGCCUACACCUAGGGUAGCCUACAUUCCAAAGCAGACGCGCUCGCGCUGCCAUCAGGCGAAGAUAAAAGCACAGAAGGCUUUAUAUGAUGCGACGACAAUUCAUGACCCGUUCGGAACUGCACUCCGAGGAAGACGAGUGGGUAGGCCAAAUUAAGCCAGAUGGGUCUCUCUGCUUCGUAUUGCUUUGAGCUGCAGUGCCAAGAACUUCCUGUCCAGGUGCACCAAAGCGAGUGAAAUUUUCAGCUGCUUUAAAGAUGGUGGCAGAGUGAAUCAUUAAGGACAAGAAGGAUUUGGGGAGCUGAAAGCGCAUUAGCGUGCGCCACAACUCAUCGGAGGACUGGAACGUUGGAUUCUCCCAUACAACUCAAAGAUGGAGAGGGAGCGAACAGGGUGAUUCUGGCGACGGUUUGCGCUUCACAGCCUCGCUGAGUACAAAAGCAAAGUGGACGCCGCGCGUAAAUCGUGUCCAUCUCUCGUCAUCACACCACUCUGAAAACAGAAAGACAAUCGGCCUAUAUCCAGGAGUUACACGACUCACACAUGAAGAGCGAGGUGGUGAUGGGAUAAUCAGCAAGCAACUCAACCAGCGCAAGGAACGCAACAAAGGGAGUCCCCCACUGUAGUUGGUUGAACGGUGGAAGCUGGCCGCGGAACUGGAGACUCUACCCCAGGGGGACUGUAUUUAGUACCCAGGAGAAAUUGAAGCACCAGUCUUCCCGUGUGCAGUCUGCUCCUCUCUGCGCAUUCACCUUAGCCAAGGCAGAGUGCACGCGAUGCGGUGACUCCAGGGAUUUCUGGGGGGGUGUGGGACACAACACGUCUCACCCUGCUGCCAGGGGUAAGGUCCCC